AUGGGCAUAUUAAUAAUCACAAUCUCCUGCUCUGACCUUGAAUGGAGCCGGGAUGAGGAUAUCCUUCUUGAGGUGCCUUCCCCUUUGUGUACAGGUGGCUGCCUGCGGAAGAAUGUAUUUGCUAUGGCUAUCUGUGCUGUUGGAGAAGCCCUGCAAACACUCCCAGGACUAUCAAUCCAUGCGUCCAAUUUCUUCUCCUUGGGGGUAUUGGGCAAGGUGUGCCAUGAAAUCGCUUCUAACACACACCACCACACACACAAAUGGUGGGAGAGUAUGUGUGGUGUUGUAUGUGAGCAGCUACCCCAUAGCCAGAUGUGCACACCUUGCUGUUUCCCCUUCAGCAUCUUCACCCCAAGUGUAUCAAUCCAGGCUCAGAGUACAGUACAUUCGAUUUUUUCUCUCCUGGAGAGAUCUGCACUUCUAGCCACGAAAUUGCUCUUAACACACACAUACACGCACCAUCCACACACUUACAGUUUCCCCUUCACCCCACCCCCUCCUCAAUUCACUGCUACUGCAGCCGACUUCGCAGGCUUUGCCAUUGAUCGGGCAGGCUUCCCCGGCUGGCUCACCUCCUUGCCUGCUUCAGACUGCAAAGCUCAGCAAGUCUGGCUGCAGGCACUUUGGGAAGGAGUUGGGAUGGAGAGGAGGGGCUUCCACCCUCCUCUUCAAGGGUUGGCUCCUGAACUGCACCAGGGAGGAGGAGGAGGAGGAGGAGGAGGAGGAGGAGGGGGAGGGAGCCCCUGUUCAAUUAAUGCAGGAGCCUGGCGCGUUGAGACACCCUCUCCGCCAAUGGGCUUGGAGCUCUGCAGAAGGCAGCGUCGGACGGGAGCCCUGGAGGGGAGGAGAGGGGAGGGGAAGGGAGGGGAGGGGAGGGGAGAAGCAACUGCAGCAUUUGCAGGGACCGACCUGCCGGCUCCAAGUCUCCAGCCCCAUCUGAGCGCCGGGCUGCAUGUGUGUGUGCCUCUCCAAGCCAGCAAGCACUCAAGUUGUGAUUUCGCACGCCAAGACCUCAAAUUGCUGGUGAGUACCUGUCUUUGA
This 1041-nucleotide long non-coding RNA is filed under the name Anolis carolinensis (green anole). RNAcentral describes it as "lncRNA (ENSACAG00000037830.1)". Lineage: Eukaryota; Metazoa; Chordata; Lepidosauria; Squamata; Anolidae. The record is from RNAcentral.